RNAcentral lists this ribosomal RNA (468 nucleotides) under uncultured bacterium. Its description in RNAcentral is "partial 16S ribosomal RNA". It matches the Rfam family "Bacterial small subunit ribosomal RNA", at positions 28 to 507 of the family's 1533-position model. The record is from RNAcentral.
GACGAACGCUGGCGGCGUGCUUAACACAUGCAAGUCGAACGGAAAGGCCCUGCUUUUGUGGGGUGCUCGAGUGGCGAACGGGUGAGUAACACGUGAGUAACCUGCCCUUGACUUUGGGAUAACUUCAGGAAACUGGGGCUAAUACCGUAUAGGAUCUCCUGCUGCAUGGUGGGGGUUGGAAAGUUUCGGCGGUUGGGGAUGGACUCGCGGCUUAUCAGCUUGUUGGUGGGGUAGUGGCUUACCAAGGCUUUGACGGGUAGCCGGCCUGAGAGGGUGACCGGCCACAUUGGGACUGAGAGACGGACCAGACUCCUACGGGAGGCAGCAGGGGGGAAUAUUGCACAAUGGGCGGAAGCCUGAUGCAGAAACGCCGCGUGCGGGAUGACGGCCUUCGGGUUGUAAACCGCUUUCGCCUGUGACGAAGCGUGAGUGACGGUAAUGGGUAAAGAAGCACCGGCUAACUACGUG